UGCAGUCGAACGCAGUAGCAAUACUGAGUGGCAAACGGGUGAGUAUAAUGUGGGAAUCUGCCUUUUGGUUUGGAAUAACACGGGGAAACUUGUGCUAAUACCGGAUAAGCCCUUACGGGGAAAGUUUUAACGCCGAAAGAUGAGCCUGCACUUGAUUAGCUAGUUGGUAAGGUAAAGGCUUACCAAGGCAACGAUCAAUAGCUGUUCUUAGAGGAAGACCAGCCACAUUGGGACUGAGACACGGCCCAGACUCCUACGGGAGGCAGCAGUGGGGAAUCUUGCACAAUGGGGGAAACCCUGAUGCAGCGAUGCCGCGUGAGUGAAGAAGGCCCUUGGGUUGUAAAACUCUUUCGUCGGGGAAGAAAAUGACCGUACCCGAAUAAGAAGGUCCGGCUAACUUCGUGCCAGCAGCCGCGGUAAUACGAAGGGACCUAGCGUAGUUCGGAAUUACUGGGCUUAAAGAGCUCGUAGGUGGUUAAAAAAGUUGAUGGUGAAAUCCCAAGGCUCAACCUUGGAACUGCCAUCAAAACUUUUUAGCUAGAGUGUGAUAGAGGUAAGUGGAAUUUCUAGUGUAGAGGUGAAAUUCGUAGAUAUUAGAAAGAACACCAAAUGCGAAGGCAACUUACUGGGUCACUACUGACACUGAGGAGCGAAAGCAUGGGUAGCGAAGAGGAUUAGAUACCCUCGUAGUCCAUGCCGUAAACGAUGUGUGCUAGACGUUGGAAAUAUAUUUUUCAGUGUCGCAGCGAAAGCAUUAAGCACGCCGCCUGGGGAGUACGACCGCAAGGUUAAAACUCAAAUGAAUUGACGGGGACCCGCACAAGCAGUGGAGCAUGUGGUUUAAUUCGAAGAUACGCGCAGAACCUUACCAACACUUGACAUGUUCGUCGCGAGACUAAGAGAUUAGUUUUUUCAGUUCGGC
This 922-nucleotide ribosomal RNA is filed under the name uncultured marine bacterium. Its description in RNAcentral is "bacterial SSU rRNA". It matches the Rfam family "Bacterial small subunit ribosomal RNA", at positions 56 to 1025 of the family's 1533-position model. The record is from RNAcentral.